Molecule: ribosomal RNA, 2891 nt
Filed under: Candidatus Brachybacter algidus
Lineage: Bacteria; Pseudomonadati; Bacteroidota; Saprospiria; Saprospirales; Saprospiraceae
Description: 23S ribosomal RNA
Rfam family: Bacterial large subunit ribosomal RNA
Source: RNAcentral
GGUCAAGCUACUAAGAGCGUAGGGUGGAUGCCUUGGCACUAAGAGCCGAUGAAAGACGUGAUAAGCUGCGAAAAGCUUCGGGGAGGAGCAAAUAUCCAUUGAUCCGGAGAUCUCUGAAUGGGGAAACCUAACUGAGCAAACCUCAGUUACUAUAUAAUGAAUACAUAGUUGUAUAGAGGGAACUCGGGGAACUGAAACAUCUAAGUACCCGAAGGAAAAGAAAGAAAUUAAUCGAUUUCCUAAGUAGUGGCGAGCGAAAGGGAAAGAGCCUAAACCAGAAGACCUAGUCUUCUGGGGUUCGGACUGCAUUUAGCAUUGAAUAAGGUUAGACGAAUGGUUUUGGGAAAGCCAACUAAAGAGGGUGAAAGUCCCGUAGUCGAAAACUGAGUUCAGCGAGCAGUAUCCAGAGUAGUGCGGGGCACGAGAAACCCUGUAUGAAUAUAGGGGGACCACCCCGUAAGGCUAAAUACUACUUAGUGACCGAUAGCGCAUAGUACUGUGAAGGAAAGGUGAAAAGGACCCCGGGAGGGGAGUGAAAGAGAACCUGAAACCCUGUGUUUACAAGCUGUGGAAGUGCUUUAUACGAGCACAACCGCGUACUUUUUGUAGAACGGUCCGGCGAGUUACGUAUAAUGGCAAGGUUAAGGACUAAAGGUCUGGAGCCGAAGGGAAACCGAGUCUUAAUAGGGCGAAGAGUCGUUGUGCGUAGACCCGAAACCGGGUGACCUACCCAUGUCCAGGUUGAAGUUGCCGUAAAAGGCAAUGGAGGACCGAACCCACAUCCGUUGAAAAGGGUGGGGAUGAGGUGUGGAUAGGGGAGAAAUUCCAAUCGAACCCGGAGAUAGCUGGUUCUCCUCGAAAUAGCUUUAGGGCUAGCCUCAACGCGAGUCUACUGGAGGUAGAGCACUGAAUUGCCUAGGGGGCCUCAAAGCCUACCGAAGCAUAUCAAACUCCGAAUGCCAAUAAGAUACCGUUGGGAGUCAGACUAUAUGAGAUAAGUUGGGUGGUCAAAAGGGAAAGAGCCCAGACCUGCAGCUAAGGUCCCAAAGUGCGUGUUAAGUGGAAAAGGAUGUGGGAUUUCGAAGACAACUAGGAUGUUGGCUCAGAAGCAGCCAUACAUUCAAAGAGUGCGUAAUAGCUCACUAGUCGAGAGGUCCUGCGCCGAAAAUGUCCGGGGCUGAAACAUGUCACCGAAGCUGCGGAAUGCAUACAUGGGUAUGCAUUGGUAGAGGAGCAUUCUUAAAGGGACGAAGCUGUACCGGAAGGAGCAGUGGACUGUUAAGAAGAGAGAAUGCCGGAAUGAGUAGCGAGAGGAAGGUGAGAAUCCUUCCGGCCGAAUAUCUAAGGUUUCCAGAGUAAAGCUGAUCUGCUCUGGGUAAGUCGGGGCCUAAGGCGAGGUCGAGAGUCGUAGUCGAUGGACAACUGGUUGAGAUUCCAGUACUACAUACAAACAGAACUGUGGGGACGCAGACGAAAGCAGAGCGGGAAUGGAAGACCGGUAAGCCAAAGGAUAGACUGGUUGGCAAAUCCGCAUGGAAUCGAAGACGUGAUGGGACCGAAAUAAAGUAGGGAAGCUCCUGAAUCUAAGCUGCCAAGAAAAGCCGCUAUUGUUUGUUAUGUACCCGUACCGUAAACCGACACAGGUGGAUGAGGAGAGAAUCCUAAGGCCGACGGGAGAAGCAUUGUUAAGGAACUCGGCAAAAUGACCCCGUAACUUCGGGAGAAGGGGUGCCUGCGAGAGUUGGCCGCAGAGAAUAGGCUCAAGCAACUGUUUAGCAAAAACACAGGUCUAUGCAAAACCGAAAGGUGAAGUAUAUGGGCUGACGCCUGCCCGGUGCUGGAAGGUUAAGAGGAGAGGUUAGCGCAAGCGAAGCUUUGAAUUUAAGCCCCAGUAAACGGCGGCCGUAACUAUAACGGUCCUAAGGUAGCGAAAUUCCUUGUCGGGUAAGUUCCGACCCGCACGAAAGGCGUAAUGAUUUGGGCACUGUCUCGACAAUGCACCCGGUGAAAUUGAAGUACCAGUGAAGAUGCUGGUUACCCGCGCCAGGACGGAAAGACCCCAUGGAGCUUUACUCCAGCUUGAUACUGGGAUUCGGUAUUGCAUGUACAGGAUAGGUGGGAGACUAAGAAGCAUGGACGCCAGUUGCCAUGGAGUCACCGUUGGGAUACCACCCUUGCAGUACUGGGUUUCUAACCAGCAGCCGUGAUCCGGCUGGGGGACAAUGUCAGGUGGGGAGUUUGACUGGGGCGGUCGCCUCCGAAAGGGUAUCGGAGGCGCUCAAAGGUUCCCUCAGAAUGGACGGAAACCAUUCGAAGAGUGCAAAGGCAGAAGGGAGCUUGACUGCGACACCGACGGGUGGAGCAGGUACGAAAGUAGGACUUAGUGAUCCGGUGGUAUAAAGUGGGAUUGCCAUCGCUCAACGGAUAAAAGCUACCCUGGGGAUAACAGGCUUAUCACUCCCAAGAGUUCACAUCGACGGAGUGGUUUGGCACCUCGAUGUCGGCUCAUCGCAUCCUGGGGCUGUAGUAGGUCCCAAGGGUUGGGCUGUUCGCCCAUUAAAGCGGUACGCGAGCUGGGUUCAGAACGUCGUGAGACAGUUCGGUCCCUAUCCGGCGUGGGCGUAGGAUAUUUGAGAGGAGCUGUCCUUAGUACGAGAGGACCGGGAUGGACGGACCGCUGGUGUAUCUGUUGUCUUACCAAAGGCAUAGCAGAGUAGCCAAGUUUGGAAGGGAUAAACGCUGAAGGCAUCUAAGCGUGAAGCCCCCCACAAGAUAAGAUAUCCCAUCCGUAAGGAGGAAGACCCCUUGUAGGCGACAAGGUAGAUAGGUUGGAGGUGUAAGCACGGCAACGUGUUCAGCUGACCAAUACUAAUGGUCGAGGGUUUGACCUA